GAUGAAGAACGUAGCGAAAUGCGAUAAGUAAUGUGAAUUGCAGAAUUCAGUGAAUCAUCGAAUCUUUGAACGCACAUUGCGCCCGCCAGUAUUCUGGCGGGCAUGCCUGUUCGAGCGUCAUUACAACCCUCAGGCCCCCGGGCCUGGCGUUGGGGAUCGGCGGAAGCCCCCUGUGGGCACACGCCGUCCCUCAAAUACAGUGGCGGUCCCGCCGCAGCUUCCAUUGCGUAGUAGCUAACACCUCGCAACUGGAGAGCGGCGCGGCCAUGCCGUAAAACACCCAACUUCUGAAUGUUGACCUCGAAGCAGGUAGGAAUACCCGCUGAACUUAAGCAUAUCAAUAAGCGGAGGA
RNAcentral lists this unclassified non-coding RNA (352 nucleotides) under soil metagenome. RNAcentral describes it as "partial contains 5.8S ribosomal RNA, internal transcribed spacer 2, and large subunit ribosomal RNA". The stretch from base 1 to 120 matches the Rfam family "5.8S ribosomal RNA", at positions 35 to 154 of the family's 154-position model. The record is from RNAcentral.